Molecule: transfer RNA, 67 nt
Filed under: Ips nitidus
Lineage: Eukaryota; Metazoa; Arthropoda; Insecta; Coleoptera; Curculionidae
Description: tRNA-Trp
Source: RNAcentral
AAGAAUUUAAGUUAUAAGAAACUUUUAACCUUCAAAGUUAAAUAUAGGAAAAAGUUCCUAAUUCUUA